AGUGAACGCUGGCGGUAGGCCUAACACAUGCAAGUCGAACGGCAGCACAGUAAGAGCUUGCUCUUACGGGUGGCGAGUGGCGGACGGGUGAGGAAUACAUCGGAAUCUACUUUUUCGUGGGGGAUAACGUAGGGAAACUUACGCUAAUACCGCAUACGACCUACGGGUGAAAGCAGGGGAUCUUCGGACCUUGCGCGAUUGAAUGAGCCGAUGUCGGAUUAGCUAGUUGGCGGGGUAAAGGCCCACCAAGGCGACGAUCCGUAGCUGGUCUGAGAGGAUGAUCAGCCACACUGGAACUGAGACACGGUCCAGACUCCUACGGGAGGCAGCAGUGGGGAAUAUUGGACAAUGGGCGCAAGCCUGAUCCAGCCAUACCGCGUGGGUGAAGAAGGCCUUCGGGUUGUAAAGCCCUUUUGUUGGGAAAGAAAAGCAGCAGGAGAAUACCCCGCUGUUCUGACGGUACCCAAAGAAUAAGCACCGGCUAACUUCGUG
Molecule: ribosomal RNA, 492 nt
Filed under: uncultured bacterium
Lineage: Bacteria
Description: partial 16S ribosomal RNA
Rfam family: Bacterial small subunit ribosomal RNA
Source: RNAcentral